AGUCCAAAAGACAUUGUGGACCUGGCCAAAGUCAACACUUUUGAAUUGAGCCAAAUACGCGUUCUCCAAGCUUGGUCGUCCCAACUCAUCUGAAACGGAAUCCACUGUGGGCCACCGUGCCAGUCGUUGCUCCCGGCGGCGGUGGCCAUCAAAAUCAAUAUCGGAGCUAUCAAAGUACUCCCCCACUCAUGCUCUAUCAUAAUCCGUGGUCAAUUUCAAGCAAUUGUUCCUCUAAAACUCUAAUUGAAUCCCUACAAUCCAAGAACCCUAACACAAAUAACUCCAAUUAAACCCUAUAUGUACCUGUUCAAAGCCCCAUGGAUGAGGGCUUUGAAUCCUCUCAACCUCCUCUACAUACCGACAACUGGAAUUGAAGGAAUGAAGUAUGAUUGAGACUUACCGUGGCCGGAGAAAGAUGAAGGUGAUGAAAAAUUGUGAACUCCUAUUUCCAGUAUUCAUUUGUGUGGCUUGGCUUGAUGGUUGGAUACAAGGUCUGCACAAGGCUCAAUGCAAGUUAAUCUUGCUGCAGGGUUCAUAUGGUUGGUUGCUACCUUCAUCUGGUUUGUAUAUUGGUGUUGUUUUAUUCAGUCAGUUAGAUCAAAUACAAGAUGACAAGUGGACAAUCUAUCUAACUCCAAGUCUACUGAACUUCAUUCAUGCAUUGCUUAUGUCCCAUGCUGUUAGCACUGGUAUGGAUUGAGUGAAGAGAUUAACUUGUCAAUCUUUGUGUCAGGAUUGACUAAAACAUGACCUGUGAUGUACUUCAACUAAUUCAAUAAGGGCAUUGCAAUUUGAUCCAAGAAGGGCAUUACAAUUUGGAUCCUAGCCAAUUGAUGUGGUUUUGUUUGGUCUUGCUGCAAGUCCGUUGUAGGAUUUGGUACAGGCUAGGUAUGUUGGUAUAUUUAAAGGAUUUGGUUGGAGGUGAGCUUCUGGCCAACUGCAAGUUAUGGCUUUUGUAUUGCAGGAUGCUGGCAGGAUGCAUUUGGACUGCACCAUUCUGGCCUGGCCCAUGUCUCAGUUCAUGUUACCACUCAUGUCCUUGCCUUUGAUCUAUUAUUACCCUCUUGCAACCAAUGAUGUACCAUAACUUCUCAUGAUGUAUUGCAAUACUAUUGGAAUUUUCCUUGGCAGGUUCAUGUAUUGCUUCUGUUUGAGAAUGUGUCAGUUAGUUUUUUGUAGAAUACUACAGGAUGAUGACAGGAUGCAAGUGUGAGGCUUGUCAUGGACCAUGUUUAGCAAGGUAAAAAUUGGUUGACAAGGCAAUGAGGACCAAGUCAUGGUAUGGUGCACAUGAGUUUAAAAAUGGGCCAAGUUACUUGGAAAUGAAAAAAUAAGGCAAAACACAUCAAACACGACUCUUGGAUGAUGAAUCAAGGAAAAGUGAACUAGAUUAGGUCUUAGGUGGUCAAAAAUGGACGAGUUGACCUUGGUCAAAGUUGACCAAAAAGUCAAUUGUUGACCAAAGUCAACACUUGGUCAAAGUUGUUAAAAUGUGUAUUUUUUUCAUGUAAUGGUUAAUGUAAUGGAUUGUGAUGGUUUAAAAUGGAUUGAGAUUGAUUUGAAAUUGGAUUGAAAAUGGUUUUCUCUU
Long non-coding RNA from Lathyrus oleraceus (garden pea), 1588 nucleotides. RefSeq lists it as uncharacterized. Lineage: Eukaryota; Viridiplantae; Streptophyta; Magnoliopsida; Fabales; Fabaceae. The record is from RefSeq and is a predicted model, not a curated record. The transcript has 6 exons.